AAUAGAUACCCCGGUAGUCCACGCCGUAAACGAUGUCGACUUGGAGGUUGUGCCCUUGAGGCGUGGCUUCCGGAGCUAACGCGUUAAGUCGACCGCCUGGGGAGUACGGCCGCAAGGUUAAAACUCAAAUGAAUUGACGGGGGGCCCGCACAAGCGGUGGAGCAUGUGGUUUAAUUCGAUGCAACGCGAAGAACCUUACCUACUCUUGACAUCCAGAGAACUUAGCAGAGAUGCUUUGGUGCCUUCGGGAACUCUGAGACAGGUGCUGCAUGGCUGUCGUCAGCUCGUGUUGUGAAUGUUGGGUUAAGUCCCGCAACGAGCGCAACCCUUAUCCUUUGUUGCCAGCGGUUAGGCCGGGAACUCAAAGGAGACUGCCAGUGAUAAACUGGAGGAAGGUGGGGAUGACGUCAAGUCAUCAUGGCCCUUACGAGUAGGGCUACACACGUGCUACAAUGGCAUAUACAAAGAGAAGCGACCUCGCGAGAGCAAGCGGACCUCAUAAAGUAUGUCGUAGUCCGGAUUGGAGU
RNAcentral lists this ribosomal RNA (527 nucleotides) under uncultured bacterium. RNAcentral's name for it is "bacterial SSU rRNA". It matches the Rfam family "Bacterial small subunit ribosomal RNA", at positions 777 to 1304 of the family's 1533-position model. The record is from RNAcentral.